RNAcentral lists this long non-coding RNA (1508 nucleotides) under Durio zibethinus. RNAcentral describes it as "long non-coding RNA (DZIB_LNC001363)". The record is from RNAcentral. Lineage: Eukaryota; Viridiplantae; Streptophyta; Magnoliopsida; Malvales; Malvaceae.
UUGUAUUACAAAAUUAGGACAAGAGGUGAUAACAAAUUCUACAAAGAAAACAAGAUAACCAUGUUGCACAUGGACUAUAUGGUGAUUGUUUUAGGAUGGUUGUACUGAGAACUGUUCAAAAGUUGUCUCAUCUCAGUGACUAAACCUGCAUUCAAGAUAUUAAUCAACAUACUAUGUAAAAUGUUACUAGAGAAAGCUCUUAAAACAUAAUAAAAAUUGCUCAUACAUGUGUAUAACUAAAACUAGUAGACAAAUCAAAAUUAAAUGGGAACAUUAGCAAGCAAUUAUAAUCAACAAAUAAAAUAAUGAGAAAUAAUAAAUCACUCAUAAUUAGUUUUCAAAUUAUAAAAAGCGAAGAGCGUAAACACUUCCUUGAGUUUCGUCUGGAUGAGUACUGUGCACUAUAAUGAAGGUUUUAUAGUGCACUAAAGGCACUGCAAUACUAGCCUAAUAGCAUUGGACCCCACUGUACUGCACCGCCCAUUCAAAUGAGGACUUAAGCUUCGUUUUAAUGGGGCUUAUGCACCUCCUACCGCAUUCGAACUUUGAAACAGCUUUGUAAAUGCAGUCUUAGAAAUCUAGUUAUAAAACAAUCUCUUCCAUCACGCUAUCAAAUAAGCUCUUGUUCGAUUUCGUACCUAUAUAUAUAUAUAUAUAUUUAUAUAUUUAUAUAUAAAGACUAAGAGAAUUCUCCACAAACAAGCAAACAUGAUUUUCUUUUCUCUCUCUCUCUCUCUCUCUCUCUCUCUCUCUCUCUCUCUCUCUUUUCUUUCGAAGUGAUUUUAAGUAGUCUCUCUUUGUAUCGUUUUCUUUGAACAUUGAAGAACUGAAUUUAUGUUUUAAGAUAAAGGCUUCCUUCUUUAAUUGUUCAUGGUACUCUAUUUAAUUUAUUCUUUUGUUUUUUAUGAUAAAGCUUUUUUCUUUUUCUUUUUUCAAUUUUUUUCCUUUUUUCCCAGUUUCGCUUUUUUUUUUUUUUCUAUUCUUCCUUUUUUUUCUUUGAAUUUCUUUUUUCUUUUUUUUUUCUUCCUUUUGACUAUAGUAGCAGCGGUGAUUGAAGCAAUAGAGAACCUUUCUGACAAAAAAAGUCAAAAAGAAAAAAAAAAAAAACCAAAGUAGAAGAAGGCUUACCGUUGGCUAAGGGUUGAAUAAAGCAUAAAAUCGAUAACAAGGUGAGAGUACAAAGAAACCAACCAGAGGGAUAUGUGAUGAAAUUGCCUUUGUUCUAAUCUUUCCAAGUUGCAACUACUGCUUGAACGAAGUAAUUGGCCAAAGUAUUGGACCGUGCCACCGAUCGAAUCAUUCCUUCCAUACGAAGAAUUUCGUGAUGAAGCCUUGCCAGCUCUAAAUUCUUGGAUUGCAUUUCUCUAAGCUCAGCUAACUCUGCUUUCAAGCGCCUCAAUUCCUUCUCCUUUUUCUUUUUGACAUCAUAAGAAAAGAAUAAAAGAAUCAAAGAUAUCAAAUAAGGGAAAAGAUUAUGAAGAUAAGGCUGAAAAUUUAAUAGAAAGUAC